AAGACUAUAGACCUGCGGAGUACCUGCGGAAGGAUCAUUAACACGUAUCCAAACGUAUAAACCCCAUUAUGCGAAACACAAUCCGCGCCCUGACCGUGUCCGAGCCACUCGAUAUGGCUUGGCAGCCUGCAGUUGGGAACGGCUGUAUGGCUGGAGCUCUGUCCUGGUUCUCUUCUCUCGGGGAGUGCCUUGAACAUCCGCAUGGUAGGUGCUGCCUUUUUUUCCACACCAACACCUUCU
RNAcentral lists this unclassified non-coding RNA (240 nucleotides) under soil metagenome. Its description in RNAcentral is "partial contains 5.8S ribosomal RNA, internal transcribed spacer 2, and large subunit ribosomal RNA". The record is from RNAcentral.